AGGUGAACGUCAGAAUGCUAGAAGGUAUGAUUCUCAUUUUUGCCUUGCUUAAUUAUUUGCCCAGAUGUUGAAGUUUUAUAUUAAAAUCUCUACUCUCUAUCCUUUUGAAAUGUUAAUUUAUGUCAGAAUGAUAUAUUCCAUUUGGUGUUAUAUUAAUAUGGAAGAAGAUAUCAUGUAUAUGUUGUUACGAAGAAAGAUAAGCUGUCAAAGUUUGUGUUAUCUAUGCUCUAGCAAAUUUUGGUUCUCUCUUAUUUUUAUUGUCUGAACUUGGUACGACCAACUCAUCUGAUACUGAUAAAUUUUCAUAUUUCUUUCCAGAGUAUGCAGUUUCAAGAUUUCACCAUCUAAAAGAUGGAGAACAUCUUGUCUCUUCGUCCCAAGUAUUAAUAAGGCACUUAGGCAUACAUUAACAAUUUGGCGAUCUAGUUUUAUGUGUGAAUGUGAUGCCUCAAGAGUUCCAAUCAGUGGUCUGCGUCAUAUGUGAUGAAUUUUAGAUUGAUUAAGAAAAAUGUUCUUCCAAUUUAGAUAUUUCCAAAUCUUCUUAAUUUUGAUUAUUCAUUCUCUUUAUUGUGUAUUUCAUUUUAUAUCUGCAGUGGUAGCUAACCUUUUUUUAAGGGGGAAAAAGAACCCACAAAAAGGAUACAUUGUUAUAGUUACAUUUUUUUUUUGAAACUAUAUUUAUAAUUACUAUAUAAGUUUUGCUACAAUAUUUAUUAGUGUAUUCUAAUACUAGUUUAUGGUAAACAUACUGUCUGGGAUUUGAAUAAUAGAUCUA
This 775-nucleotide unclassified non-coding RNA is filed under the name Hevea brasiliensis (rubber tree). The record is from RNAcentral. Lineage: Eukaryota; Viridiplantae; Streptophyta; Magnoliopsida; Malpighiales; Euphorbiaceae.